UAACAAGGAUUCCCCUAGUAACGGCGAGCGAAGCGGGAAGAGCUCAAAUUUGAAAGCUGGCGUCUUCGGCGUCCGCGUUGUAAUCUCGAGACGUGUUUUCCGUGCGGCUCUAUGGACAAGUCCCUUGGAACAGGGCAUCGUAGAGGGUGAAAAUCCCGUACUUGCCAUGGAAGUACCGUGCUUUGUGAUACACGCUCCAAGAGUCGAGUAGUUUGGGAUUGCUGCUCAAAGUGGGUGGUAGACUCCAUCUAAAGCUAAAUAUCGGGGAGAGACCGAUAGCGAACAAGUACCGUGAGGGAAAGAUGAAAAGCACUUUGGAAAGAGAGUUAAAAGUACGUGAAAUUGUCGAAAGGGAAGCACUUGAAGUCAGCCAUGCUGCUUGAGACUCAGCCUGGCUUUUGCUUGGUGUAUUUCUCGGUAGCAAGCCAGCAUUGGUUUGUGUCGUCGGAGAAGCGUAUGGGGAAUGUGGCAUCCUCGGAUGUGUUAUAGCCCUGUGCAGGAUACGACGACGUAGACCAAGGAACGCAGUGUGCCCUCUGGGCGGGUCUUCGGACACCUUCACACUUAGGAUGCUGGCGUAAU
RNAcentral lists this ribosomal RNA (582 nucleotides) under Malassezia restricta. RNAcentral's name for it is "eukaryotic LSU rRNA". It matches the Rfam family "Eukaryotic large subunit ribosomal RNA", at positions 66 to 635 of the family's 3401-position model. RNAcentral also lists the same sequence under 1 other name. Lineage: Eukaryota; Fungi; Basidiomycota; Malasseziomycetes; Malasseziales; Malasseziaceae. The record is from RNAcentral.